This 328-nucleotide ribosomal RNA is filed under the name uncultured Terrimonas sp. RNAcentral's name for it is "bacterial SSU rRNA". It matches the Rfam family "Bacterial small subunit ribosomal RNA", at positions 568 to 898 of the family's 1533-position model. Lineage: Bacteria; Pseudomonadati; Bacteroidota; Chitinophagia; Chitinophagales; Chitinophagaceae. The record is from RNAcentral.
UGCGUAGGUGGAUAAUUAAGUCAGUGGUGAAAUCUUCAGGCUUAACCUGGAAACUGCCAUUGAUACUAUUUGUCUUGAAUACUUUGGAGGUAAGCGGAAUAUGUCAUGUAGCGGUGAAAUGCUUAGAUAUGACAUAGAACACCAAUUGCGAAGGCAGCUUACUACACAGUAAUUGACACUGAGGCACGAAAGCGUGGGGAUCAAACAGGAUUAGAUACCCUGGUAGUCCACGCCCUAAACGAUGGAUACUCGACAUUAGCGAUAUACAGUUAGUGUCUGAGCGAAAGCAUUAAGUAUCCCACCUGGGAAGUACGAUCGCAAGAUUGAA